Lycium barbarum (goji berry) is the source of this 661-nucleotide long non-coding RNA. RefSeq lists it as uncharacterized. The record is from RefSeq and is a predicted model, not a curated record. The transcript is spliced from 2 exons. NCBI's taxonomy places the organism in Eukaryota, Viridiplantae, Streptophyta, Magnoliopsida, Solanales, Solanaceae.
UACACAACUCUUAUAUUCUUUUGGUGCAAAUAUACACAUAUCUUCACGAUAACAUCAAUUCAUCUAAAAUAGCAAGGAUAGAUACAUAUUUCUUACCUUCUUCUUACGCUAGUUAAUGGAAGAUUAGCAGUGGACAACAUUUCUUUUUCUCUUUCGUUCAACACCCAAAACAGAAACAUGAGCUACAAUUUUAAAGAAGCGAAGUGCAAUAUUUUUUUUUUACCAAGGAUAACAUACGGGGUUUUGUAUACCCCUUCAAUCUCGUUGUUUUAUUUUGUCGUGUUGUUAAAUUCGGACUUUCUUCAAAAUGAAGUAAAGGAGAAGGAGAGGAGUUUUUGGCAAAUGAGGUCAGCAGGUAGGCGGAUCUGAUUCCUGGGAGCUCUAUCAGCAGUACUUGGCAGCGCUCUAGUUGUUUCGGAGCCUCAGUUUCUUGGUACUACUUUUGUGUGUAUAAUCGGGCAUGGCAGGAUCCGGCCCUUCAUAUGUAUAUGUGUACGUUGUUUAGAGACUCGUAGACAGAUAUGUACAGUCAGAUGUUUUGUACUUUUGUUGUCCCUGUCGCUGUAUAAUGUGCUAGCAAAGUUUAUUAGCCUAUGUUCAUAAAUAGCUACUAAUGUUAAUGUUAAGUAACAAAAAAAAAAAAAUGAUAUAGUUCAUACGA